RNAcentral lists this long non-coding RNA (213 nucleotides) under Oncorhynchus mykiss (rainbow trout). Its description in RNAcentral is "lncRNA (ENSOMYG00000059356.1)". The record is from RNAcentral. Lineage: Eukaryota; Metazoa; Chordata; Actinopteri; Salmoniformes; Salmonidae.
AUGUUUUCCUUCGCCGAGGAUGCGGGUGAGCCGAGUGGCCAGGUCUUUGUCCAUUGUGAUGUGGUCAUCUGUGAUGCCAGUAGUCCCUCUGGCGGCCCCUGUAGUGGACAAUGUGUGAAUCAGGACAACCCGAAAAGAGGACAACGACAUGUCAAAGACCUCUUUGAGGAGCGUCAUUUAUAUGUUUCUUCUGGAUACAUUCUUUGGGUGUAA